AUUAUAUUUUUAACACAUUUUUGUGACUCAUUUUAACCCAUUCUAGAAAAGAGAGGAGGAGGAGAGGAGGAAGGGUGAGGAACAGAUUCGCCAACGGGAAGAGCUACGUGCAAAAGAAUUAUACUUGAGUCUGAAGAGAGCUCAGCAGCAACAUCAACGCAAUGAGAACGACGAGGAGGAGUGGCAAGAGCAAUUACGCAAGUCAAAGGCAGCCGAUGAAGAGCGCAAGCAUAAAGCCCGCAGAGCACGAGCUGAAUAUCACCGGCAAUCUCUUCGGGCCAUCCAGAAAGGAAAGGUAGCUGGGCUUAGUAAUCUUUUUCAGAAUACUACUCUAAACAAUGGGCAGGAGCCUACUCAAGAAAUUUGCAGUACACCCCCAAUCAAACUUCAACUACCUGUCGAAAAUGUAUGGGAACGACCAGCUCGGCCAAUAUCAAGGGAAGUCAUCAUCCGUUGGUUUAAAGAGGAGCAGAUGCCACUGCGUGCUGGCAUGGAAAAGGACAGUGAGCAGAUUUCAGCAUGGUUCCAUGGUAAAGUUUUGAAAUU
Rana temporaria (common frog) is the source of this 546-nucleotide long non-coding RNA. RefSeq lists it as uncharacterized. The record is from RefSeq and is a predicted model, not a curated record. The transcript is spliced from 3 exons. NCBI's taxonomy places the organism in Eukaryota, Metazoa, Chordata, Amphibia, Anura, Ranidae.